This 995-nucleotide small RNA is filed under the name Rattus norvegicus (Norway rat). RNAcentral's name for it is "uncharacterized LOC102553369". Lineage: Eukaryota; Metazoa; Chordata; Mammalia; Rodentia; Muridae. The record is from RNAcentral.
UCCCUUUCAAAGAUCUGUCUUCUUACAAUCUCUCUGAAAACUCCUCUUGACACCAACCUCCCAGGCUGAGUAACAGAUUCAAACUUUGUGAUUGUGGAAUUGGAAAGUUGAAGAUCUGGAUCCAAGUCAUCUUGAGCUAACUUUGGUCCUUUCCGUGACUAGCAGUAUUCCUUCAUCUGACCUGACAUCCUUUGACCAGCAGGUUAAACUUUUAACAUGUGUUCCUGGCAGACGACUGGUAUCCACAAAUUCAAUAGCCGAGAAUGGCAGCAUUACGUGUCUGAAACCUAAGACAGGCUUCCCCUACUUUGCCUGGGAUUCCCACCAGUGAGAUUGAAAAGAAGUACUUGGCAUUAGCAAAGGCACUUGGAUAAUUUAAACAAACACACUCUUGACGGGAGGAUCAGAACUGAGUUCCCCACCCUGUCUCUUUGCUUACUGGGAACUUUCCUGCCAGCAUUUCAGAAGAGUCGAGAACAGGCCUACGUGAAUGCUCGCAUGUCCAUGCAAUCCUGUCCGUCUGGGCUCUCUGGCAGUCCUUACAUUCUUCAUCUUUUGACAUCCUAGAUGAAAAAAAUAACAAGCACUGUUCACCACUGGACACUUAACGACUAACAAAACGGCAGUUUACAACCACCCCAAAUAACCCUGCUGCUAUCUGUGGGCUGGCGACAUCCCUCACAAUAUUCCUAAUAACUCGAGCUCAGUGUGAAGAUGUAUCAAUCAUGGCCAAGUGUUGGCGAGUUGGAAAGACUCUGGGUACAAAUCAUCUUCUAUGAGCCCCACCCGCUGCCCUGGGGGUUGCCAAGAUAUCAAACACUUACUUGAGCCAAUAUGUAUAACUUCACAGGAAUAGAGGUUGUAUAAAGAUGGACCAAAUGCCAUAAUCAAUUGAUUGUAUUUGCCAUUCCUUAAAAUGGAUAAAAGUACUGUCUUUGUACAUUGUUGGUUUUGGCGUAUGUGUUGUAUGCGGUAUACGUUGGGGUAUGUGUUUA